Molecule: microRNA, 22 nt
Filed under: Columba livia (rock pigeon)
Lineage: Eukaryota; Metazoa; Chordata; Aves; Columbiformes; Columbidae
Description: Cli-Mir-34-P3c_3p* (star (passenger))
Source: RNAcentral
CAGCUAACAUGCAGUUGCUAUC